GGCAAUGUUUCUUUAGUAAUCAGGAUCUGAUCUGCAUUAAUAGAACCAGUUGAAGUCCAAAGACAACACACAAACAUCACUGAGACCAUUGUGGAACGUAGGGCUUUGUGCCAGCAACAUGAUUCUGAAAAUAAUGCAUCUUCAUUGGCAGACAAAGAAAAGGAGAUGAGAUGUCAAGUUUUCAAGGCCCAGGAAGAAAGACUGCUAAGGGAAAUUCAUGAAAGGCAUCACAGGAUGACAUUUUUACUGGAGCCAUCUGAUGGUGUGCCUAUAAGGUUCAAAUUUCCAAAUGGAUAGAUAAAAACGCGAAAGUGUUCUUUGUCAGAAUCAAUCCAGACAUUGUUUGAGUUUGUAGGGCAAGAAGAUUCAGCCACUGAAAUGUUCAGUGUAAGAGAAGAUGGAUCAGGCAUUGAGAUCAACAGUAGCCUAUCAGUGGCAAUAAAGGACCAUAACAUAAUUCAUCUGAACAGGAGGUACAGUCCUUGGAAUCUAUUUAGCAUAUUUGUGAUAUAUGUGUCAUCAAUUGAUUUUUUUUAAUGACGAAUGGAAAGCAUAGCAUAGAUAAAUACUAAAACGUAAAGCAUAAAACCUGUUUAAAUGGUUCCUUGUCUCACUUUCACAAAAAUUCUGACCAGGGGUAGACAAUGUCAGUUUUGGAGAGCCACUAUCCUGCAGUUUAGCUCUGUUGUGUUUGAUUAGGUCUGGAGCAUAACUCUGCAGGACAUUUGCUCUCCAGGACUGACAUUUCUCUUUGAUUCAGGCUUACUUUUCUGUAGUGAACCAUUCAUUUUAUCCUAAAUAGACUUUUCAAUAUAACAUUAAGACAGAGAAUUUCACUCCAAUAAAAAAAAUAUCACUAUUUGGAAUGCUAAUUUUAACACCCGAAUGGUCUCACAGUCAGGGGAGAGCUCAUGGGAAAAAUAUGCAGACAAAAGCUGGUCUGCCCAGCCCGCAUGCAGGGGGUGCUUACUUAGUGAUGGAGGGGAUGCCUGUUCUUCACCUCGUGGGGGAGGGGGAAGGUGCUUUUCGCAGGCAUACGCCCUCCUAGAUAUUGCCAUGAACAGCAGCUACGCUAAUUAUUCUCUUUAUUCUCUUUCCGCCUCUGCCUCGGGAUGCCCAUCCCGAGGUAGGAAGAAGUUCCACCAUGUCCAGACGAACGACAGAUGCCCAUCCCCAUGCCCAUCCCGAGGUAGGAAGAAGUUCCACCAUGUCCAGACGACCGACAGAUGCCCAUCCCCAAUUUGAGAUUACACCAGAUACAGCUGCAGACUGACUGACCAUCCCAGCUCCAUCUAAGGCAAUUCCACCAGCUGCCAAGAGAAAUAUGACAAUCGGACCAUCCCAGCUCAGACCACUACAUCCCCAACCAAGAGCAAAGACGGACUAUUUGUCUUAUUAAUGCUGAAGUUACAAUAUUUGGUAUUAAAUGCUAAACUAAAAUCACAUGUCACCAGUCUGAGUGCAGCUAUGACACGUCAGAGGGGAUCUGGCCCUCCCGGUUGAGCCUGGUUUCUCCCGAGGUUUUUUUCUCCAUUAAUCAAUCAUUGGAGUUUGGGUUCCUUGCCACAGCAGGGCAGUGUUGGCCUGCUCACCGGGAGACUGCAUUCAUUCAUUUAUUUAUUUAGAAAUUAGAUGUUAUUUAUUAGAAUGAACUUACUCGUUGUAUAAAUACCAUGCACUGUGCUGUGUUUUAACUUUUCUGUUUUUCCUGUUUGCCCCUGUAAAGCUGCUUUGAAA
This is a long non-coding RNA of Triplophysa dalaica, 1737 nucleotides long. RefSeq lists it as uncharacterized. The transcript is spliced from 5 exons. The record is from RefSeq and is a predicted model, not a curated record. NCBI's taxonomy places the organism in Eukaryota, Metazoa, Chordata, Actinopteri, Cypriniformes, Nemacheilidae.